AGUGAACGCUGGCGGUAGGCCUAACACAUGCAAGUCGAACGGCAGCACAGUAAGAGCUUGCUCUUACGGGUGGCGAGUGGCGGACGGGUGAGGAAUACAUCGGAAUCUACUUUUUCGUGGGGGAUAACGUAGGGAAACUUACGCUAAUACCGCAUACGACCUACGGGUGAAAGCAGGGGAUCUUCGGACCUUGCGCGAUUGAAUGAGCCGAUGUCGGAUUAGCUAGUUGGCGGGGUAAGGGCCCACCAAGGCGACGAUCCGUAGCUGGUCUGAGAGGAUGACCGCCCACACUGGAACUGAGACACGGCCCAGACUCCUACGGGAGGCAGCAGUGGGGAAUAUUGCACAAUGGGCGCAAGCCUGACCCAGCAAUGCCGCGUGGGUGAAGAAGGCCUUGGGUUCGUAAAGCUCUUUUGUGGGGAAAGAAAAUAGGCGUAUUAAUCCCCGCCUUUUUUGACGGUACCUAAGAAGAAAGCCCCGGCUAACUUCGUG
Molecule: ribosomal RNA, 492 nt
Filed under: uncultured bacterium
Lineage: Bacteria
Description: partial 16S ribosomal RNA
Rfam family: Bacterial small subunit ribosomal RNA
Source: RNAcentral